This 519-nucleotide ribosomal RNA is filed under the name Triticum aestivum (bread wheat). RNAcentral's name for it is "partial small subunit ribosomal RNA". Lineage: Eukaryota; Viridiplantae; Streptophyta; Magnoliopsida; Poales; Poaceae. The record is from RNAcentral.
AUGGCGGAUGCACCUCCGUACAAGCAGCGCCGCAAGUACACCAGGGGGCUCCACGACGUCCACCUCCACGACAAUCACAAGCUCCACGUCCUUUGCACAAGCAAGGGUAAAGACAUGGACAAGAUGUUGUCCACGUUCAGGAGGAAGCUUGGCAGAAUGCCCGUCAAACUAGUCGGCGUUGAUGUCGAGUACACACACUACGAGAAGCCACAGCGUGCAGCGGUGCUACAGCUAUGCGUAGAAAAAGAAUGCCUUGUCUACCACAUAUCUGCAGCUAAAGACAGGCCAAUGGAACUAGACAAAUUCCUAAUGAAUGAUGAGUACACCUUCGUCGGAUUGGCUAUUGAAGGAGACAAAAGCAAGCUGAAGGUAUCUGGUUUGGAGAUCAACGCCGACAACUACAUCGAUAUUCAGGUGGAAUGGAGAGACCCAUACAAUAAAGAGAAGUUUGACUCUUUGGCUAAUGUUGCUGGCAGGAUGAUAGACAUUCACUACCAGGACAUGAAGAAAAAAAAUUAA